This is an RNA transcript of Prionailurus viverrinus (fishing cat), 7437 nucleotides long. It is a transcript of the gene named class I histocompatibility antigen, Gogo-B*0103 alpha chain-like, with no coding region annotated. The transcript has 12 exons. The record is from RefSeq and is a predicted model, not a curated record. NCBI's taxonomy places the organism in Eukaryota, Metazoa, Chordata, Mammalia, Carnivora, Felidae.
AGAAGCCAAUCAGCGGCACCGCGGUUCCGGGGUAUCAAGUAUCAGCACCCGCUGCCUGAGGCUGACAUUUCUCCCCAGACCCCGAGGAUGCGGGUCGUGAUGCCCCCAACUUUGCUCCUGCAGCUGUCGGGGGCCUUGGCCGUGACCCAGACCUGGGCGGGCUCCCACUCCCUGAGGUAUUUCCACACCGCGAUGUCCCGGCCCGGCCGCGGGGAGCUCCGCUUCAUCUCCGUGGGCUAUUUGGACGACACGCAGUUUGUGCGGUUCGACACCGACGCCCCGAAUCCGAGGUCUGAGCCGCGGGAGCGGUGGAUCGAGCAGGUGGGGUCCGAGUAUUGGGACCAGGAGACGCGGAACGCGAAGGACAACGCACAGAAAUUUCGAGUGAGCCUGCAGAACAUGCGGGGCUACUACAACCAGAGCGAUUCCGGUUUCACCUUAAUCACUGCUGCUCUGGGGGCGGGGACAGGAUCACACAACAUCCAGUGGAUGUAUGGCUGUGACAUCGGACCCAACAGCCGCCUCCUCCGCGGGUACAGUCAGGUGUCCUAUGACGGCAAGGAUUACAUCGCCCUGAACGAGGACCUGGGCUCCUGGACCGCAGCGGACACCGCGGCGCAGAUCACACGCCACACGUGGGAGGAGGCCUGUGUGGCCGAAGACAUCAGGAACUACUUGGAGGGCACGUGCGUGGAGUGGCUCACCAAAUACCUGGACAUGGGGAACGAGACGCUGCUGCGCGCAGAGUCUCCCAACACACGCGUGACCCGCCACCCCAUCUCUGACCGUGAGGUGACCCUGAGGUGCUGGGCCCUGGGCUUCUACCCUGUGGAGAUCACCCUGACCUGGCAGCGUGAUGGGCAGGACCACACCCAGGACGCAGAGCUUGUGGAGACCAGGCCUGCAGGAGAUGGAACCUUCCAGAAGUGGGCGGCUGUGGUGGUGCCUUCUGGAGAGGAGCAGAGAUACACGUGCCAUGUGCAGCACGAGGGGCUGCCCGAGCCCAUCACCCUGAGAUGGGAGCCAUCCUCUCUGCCCUCCAUCCCCAUCCUGGGCAUCAUUGCUGGUGUGGCUGUCCUUGUGGUCACUGUGGUGGUUGGAGCUGUGAUCUGGAGGAAGAAGUUCUCAGGAGGAAAAGGACCAAGCUACUCUCAUGCUGCAUGCGAUGACAGUACCCAGGGCUCUGAUUCAUCUCUAAUGGCUCCUAAAGUGUGAGACCCACUGCCCCUCAGGGACUGAGCGAUACAGGAUCUGUUCACACUCCACUUGGUGCCAUCGAGAUCCCCCUGACUUCCUGCAGGAGCUGCCACGGACCGGCUGUGCCUGAGGCUCAUCCAGAAGACAGAGGUCCUCUCCACUGACCAAUCGUUCCACUGAUAAUGUCGUGUGCCACGUACAGGACCUGCUAUUUUUUUCAUCUAGGACACCUCACCAAGGCUACAGAACAGUCCUGAGGCCAACAGCCAGGAGGAAAAUCCAUAGACCCACCCUAGGUCAAGGCCCAAAUAGGAACCACUGUCCGUGGUGCUGGUCACAGAUGCCACUGUUCACACCACUGGUCCAUGAGGCAAGGACUGCUAUGGCUACUGCUCCUGGCAGGUGGAUGACAAGACUGCCACUCACAUCGCCUGUGCCAAAUGCAUCAGCACUGUCCCAGCUUCCCUGUCUCCACAUCCUGAGUCAGAGUCUGACCUCAACCUGCACAGCCACUGCCAUCAGAUGGCAUGAGGAGGAGGAAAAAGGUCACCAGCAGUGAUGGUCAUCAUGGCUGGAAGGACAGGUGAACUCUGUAAACAGGACAAGAAGAAAAGGGAAGAAACAACGUCUCCCAAAGCAUUGUGGACAGCCCACCUCACAGUCCAGAUGCACACACCGUGGACUCCGUACAGCCCAGGUAUGACCCUCUCUCCCACCAUCUGCAGCAAACCAACUCCAUCAGCCAAUGUAGAACCAACUCUUCUGUCACUUCAAACCCCAUGGACUUACUUAUAGGGACUGUGAGAAAUGCAUACUCUUCACAAGACUCAGUGCUGGAGGAGGAGAAGCUGUCAGAGCCAUAGAAUGAGGUGACUCUUAAUGCAGCAGGUGAACAGUGUCCAGGAAUGAAAAACAAAACAAAACAAAACAAACACACAAACAAAAAACGGUGGGCUCUUGGGCUCAGGAGUCUGACUGCUUUUUAGAAUCAUGGCUCAGCCAAAUUGAGUCAUGUAACUUCUGAGUGAUCUUGAUUUCCUUGCCUAUAAAUUGGAAUUGAUAGCUUUCCCUAUCUCAUGGGACUAUUAUGAGGUUGAAAUGAAUCAAUUCAUGCAAAUCCCUUAAACCAGAACUCUGGGGAGGAAGAGAGUCCCACCAAUGUAGCUCCUGUUUUCUUCCUCCUACAUGACAAGUACCAGUUCUCCCUGUCACUCAUCAGCCUGAGCCCCUCUCACUUCCUGCAGAUGAAGAGCUGUUCCGUCACAUAUAUCCCAUGGGGUGGUGGUGAGGCAACCAUGAAAUGGCCAGUGUGGAGGUACAGUUGAGGAAUCCUCAGAGCAGUGGGUGCCCUCUCUCUCUCUUUCUCUCUCUCUCUCUCUCUCUCUCUCUCUUUCUCUCUCUCUCCCAUAUGUAUGUUCAAUUAUACACAUCUAUACAAACCUCCAUACACAAAUACCCAUACACACUUCUAUGGGAUUGUGAACCCACCCAGACAGACAGACACACAUACACAUAACACACUCCCUUCACAUUUGCCAUUUCACCCAGGGAAUGGCUCACUCCCACUUCAUCAUUUUAAAAAUUUUAGUAUCUUGAGGGAGAAACACCAGAGAAUAUUUGUCUCACUAGAAAGAAUCCCACUCCCUAGGGACUCUAGUACUUUCUGGUACUCAGCAUGCCUGCUCCUGGAGCUCUCCUGAGUGGGAGAUGUGACCUUAGAUUGAGAUUCUGGAAUCCAGCGGCAGCCAUGUGCACUGCCCACCUGGUAUUGGGACUCUGGGCGUCCAGCAGAUCUUCAGCCUCUCACCUUCUUCUGACUGCUCUCCCACCCUGGUUGUCCCCCACCCUGCUCCUCUCAAGAAGACAGCACAAUGGCCAAGCACUUCUGGAUGGUUCCAUCCUCUUCUGCCUGGUCUCCACAAGCUUCUUGUCCUGGGUCUGGUGCUCCCUGGCACACUGCUAGGUCAGGGUGAUAUGUACGGGGCGGAAGCCCAGGGCACACCAGACAUCAGGGUGACCUGGCAGUCAGAGAGGGGGUGGUGGGUCACAUGUGUUCUGGUAGGGUCUGUGGUAGAUAAAACAGGGAGGGCUAAGGCAAAGCCUUCUAAAGCAUCUACUACAAACCAUGAUGCCUACUGGCCUCCCAUCUGUGCCAGGAUAGCGGGCAAUGAUGAGACGACCACAGAUGGCAGAGGUCCAUGUCCAAACUCAGGUGGUUGUCAUUGUCCUAGCCAUCCUGCCACCGCCCACGGUCCUGUGUCCUCCUGGAGCCCCAAGUCACAGUGAACUGCAGGGUUGGGGGCCUGCCCAAUCCUCUCCAGGACUAGGCAGUGUCAGUCAGGGCAGAGCAUGCCGGCAGAGACCCUCCAGCCCUUAUCCCUGCACCACCCCACUGGGCUGCUCUGCAGGGAACAUUCACCCUGUAGACUAUGAUCUUGUGAUAUAAAAGAAGGAUAUAUGUUGGUCCUCCAACAGUUCCUGCACACAGCUCGUAAAAUGUUUGUCAUUUCCUACAUGAUGAGAAUCAUAGGAGCAUCUCUUUUUAGAUUUGUUCCCACUUCCUGAGAAAGCUUUACAAAAGAUCCUGGUCCAUUACUUGCACACAGUACCAAACUUCACUGCACAAUGUCUCUCUCCUCCUGUGCUGUGAGCCCUUAGAAGGCAGGACUCUCGGUGCCUGUAACCAAACCAUCUGGCAAACUGUUGAAUUCAAGCUUCUGUAUGGAUCUCGUGGUAAAAUCUGAGCAGCCUCUGUCUUCAGCUUUAGUUGAGCCUCUCGCUGAUUUAAGCCGUGAAUCCACAUGCAAAUCUCUUCCCUGUUUCAUAUGCUAAGUUCUCAUGACAUUUACUAGAAAUUAUUAAACUAUAACCUAUGCCUUGAAAUCACUCUGUCCACUUUCACCCCACACCUUGCCCACCCUAACCUCUCCCUGCUUGGAACCCCACCCCUCUCCCAUGAACCCAAAUCAUACACACACACACACACACACACACACAUCAGACUCUACACAAAGUUCCACCUCAUUCAUGACACUUUCCCUUCUCACUGGGGUGUCUGGCCUAUCGACUCUGUGACCAUUUCUCUACUUUUCAUUUGACAUCUAAGGAGGUACCUGUCUUCAGGAUCUCUCAGUGUGCCACACAAGCUCAAUAACGUGACCACAGAAGUAUGGUUGCUUCCCCAUCUUAAUUGUAAGCUCUAUGAGGUCAAACAGUAGGUCAUCCUUUCUGGUGCCCAACCUACAGUGACCUAAAGAAGUGUCCCUGACCCACUGAGUCGGCUUAGUCAGUUAGCUAAUUAAUGAUACAAAGACCUUGCCCCUCUGACCAGACUGUAGCCACCUUCACUCUCCAGUGACAGCUUGUGCACCCCUGCCUGCCCCAGCUGCCACUAGGGGAAUUCCUGACGAGAAGGUCUCAGGUCCCUGGGGGUUGGGCUGAUGUCAUCUGCACAGCGACUUCUGCUUUCUUCCAGGCACCAACCUGCCUGCUUUCGUGGGUGCUCUUUGUUCAGACUAUGCUCCGUGGUUUGGUUGUAGUAUCGCUGCACAUUUCUCAGAUUUAAGUGCUUACUCUUCCUCUGGCCUGUGAAGAACUUGGUCUUGUCAUCAAAAUUCCUUGGCUCCUCCAUCAACUCCUGGACUCAAGACUUUGUCUUCAUCUUCUCACUGUCAUGGCAGAUGAAGGGUUGGUCACCCAUGGAGCCCAAGGCACUAAAUGCAGGGACUCCUGGAGGUGACUGAGACACAGCUGAGGAGAAACACUGCACACAGUGCAUUCCUGAAGCAGGAACCAGUGCGUUCAGAGGAAGCUCCAGUACUUACUGAGGACCUAGUUAUCCAUGUGUGGGGAAGGGUUGUGAGCGUGUGUGCGUGUGUGUUGUGUAAUAGGACAGUAGGGCACACAACAUAAAAGAAUAAGAAGGCAAUUACACAACACUCUUCCCUGACCCCCUCUCCUCACACAAGUGAUUGUGAUAUUCAAAUCUCACACCCAUCGUGCACUGGUAUAAUUUAGAGAACUAAAAAGGAAAUCUUCCUCUAUAUCUGAAAAGUGCCAUGAAGAACCUGAUCUUGAGCAGGGCUUGAAGACGUGGAGGCAUCAGGAGGAGUGGGGGACAGUUAGAAAUGUUCUCAUGGCUCAGAGUGAGGUGUGAGGAGCCUGGAAUGGGACCUCCCCAGGUCCCCCGUGUGAUCUUGUUGCAUCUCAACCCCUGCUAGUUGCACCGUUCUCCUGACCAAGGUCCCCUUCCUUCACAUCACCCUCCCUGUCACUGUGGAAAAGGCACUGGCCUCAGAGUCAGGGGCUUCCAGCCUCCCCACACCCUUUAUUUCCUCGGGAAACCACUCCCCUCUGUGGCCUCAGCUUCUUUACCUCUAGAACAAAGCCAUGAGGCUGGAAGGCCCAGGGCCUCCCAGCUCUGCUAUGGGACAAUUGUAAGGCCCUGGAAGUCACCCAGGAUCCAGGUGAUGAGUGUGAAGGAGAAGGUACAGGUGGAGGGAAGGAUGCCCCAAGAGAAGGCACAGCCUUCAGCUCUUCUUGUCCCAGAGUCCCUGCUCCUGUUCUGUCCCCAGUCUAGUCUAUCCCACCCCAGGAUCUUUGAUCCCUCCUUCUUCCUUCAUGAGGCACAUUCUCCCCACCUCCCUGCCACAACCUUUGGUCUGGCCUCCCUCUGUCUGCUGUCAUGUUACUUCCUCAGGGACAGUUUGCCCCCCUACCCCCGCUGCACCCCAGGGAAGGUGAGUAGCUCCUGCUCACAUGCAGCCUUGGCCAGUGAGCAUCACGUGAUUGCAUGUUCACCACCUGCCACUGUACUUUCCAUGACAACGGUGAGUUUUCUUUUUUGUAGGUCCCUAUCCUUCGUGCCCCUCACAGUACUGUGUUAGUCAGGGUGCUCAGAGAAACAGACACAGUUAGAUAAGUGCAUCAAGGGAGAGGUGGGUGCAUUUUAAGGAAGCAGCUCAUGGGACUGGGGUGGGGCCGGAGGUCCAAAACGUGCAGGGCAGGCGGGCCAGCUCGGUGUGCGAGCAGAGCUGAUGUGGCAGAAGUGAUCCAAAGGCAGUUUGGACAAUGAUCUGGGUUGUAUUUCUUCCCUCUGAGAUUAGGAGAGUCUUCAACUUAUUACCCUCAUGUUGCACAACUUUUCCUUUGUUUUCAGUGUCAGUCUGCCGCAAUUGUUGUGGAAAUAAUAGAUACAGAUUCAAGACUAUAAAUAAAAUACUAAGAAUACACAGUAAGAAUGAAGUGACAAAGUUUCAACACCUUUUAACUUUGCUUUGAAAUAUACUAGCCAUGACUCUUCCGGGUCUGAGAGGGAACAGGGAGCCAUAACACUAGCAAUGAAUCACAACCUGCCCUGUCACAGAGCAUCUAAUACUGUACAAACCUUAUAAGGAGUGGGAAUGGCUUCCACAUUGUGUAAGAUCUAGUUCAAAGGAAACACUAUAUUGCAUAACAAAACCUUUAAAAAAUCCCUGCUUUUUUUUUCAAAACUCACUGGUGUCUUACUCUUGCUAACCAUGUAAAUAUUACACGCAAAUCAUGCUCCAAAGCUGUGUGAAUAUGGACCUGCUAAGCACAUGCUGUCAGUGCUCAGAAUGCAAUGAACAAUUAGCAAUAAUUAAGAAGAACAAUGUGAAGAACAUUAUAAAUUACCUUCACACAGCAAGUCAUUGGAUUAGUUAAACUUUGUAUAGUAACCCUUAUAAGGCUGAUAAGAGCAACCAACAUGGGAAAAGUGCCAUCAGAAGUCACACUAUCUACUGUGCAGUGAAGCAGAGCAUUUUACAUGGUGAACGAAGACUGUCACCGGACUGUGAGCAGCACAUAUCCCUGUGGUCCCUGUCACUGUGCUGCUGGCUGCAAACCGUGUGUCUGCCAGAAUAAGACAAGUAUUUGGACAACUUAUAAAUCAAGCAAAAAAUCAUUAUCAGUGUCGUUUCAACUAUGUCAUGAGAAUGUGUUUUCAUCACUUAAAUACUAAUUGAAGACAUGUAACAAGGAGGGUUUUGUUGAUCUGAGAAUCCAGGGCAUCAAAGGUAGUCAUCGGUGCUCAAACAAGAUGUGACAGGGUUACACGUGUACCCAUGGUGCCAGUGUGGUCACAAAGUUCAGGGUCUCACACAAAGUUUUAGAGAAAUUUCUGGAUAUCCUAAUUUGGUACUGUAUAAGUCACUGUAUUUAGUGAUUUCAGGAUGAUACAGUGAAAUGUGAAUUCAAAUAAAUCACUUUAAAUAUUUA